UGUUAAUGUAAUUCCUGUGAA
This 21-nucleotide non-coding RNA is filed under the name Caenorhabditis elegans. Lineage: Eukaryota; Metazoa; Nematoda; Chromadorea; Rhabditida; Rhabditidae. The record is from RNAcentral.